CUACGGGCUGCUGCAGUGGGGAAUAUUGCACAAUGGGCGCAAGCCUGAUGCAGCCAUGCCGCGUGUAUGAGGAAGGCCUUCGGGUUGUAAAGUACUUUCAGCGGGGAGGAAGGGAGUAAAGUUAAUACCUUUGCUCAUUGACGUUACCCGCAGAAGAAGCACCGGCUAACUCCGUGCCAGCAGCCGCGGUAAUACGGAGGGUGCAAGCGUUAAUCGGAAUUACUGGGCGUAAAGCGCACGCAGGCGGUUUGUUAAGUCAGAUGUGAAAUCCCCGGGCUCAACCUGGGAACUGCAUCUGAUACUGGCAAGCUUGAGUCUCGUAGAGGGGGGUAGAAUUCCAGGUGUAGCGGUGAAAUGCGUAGAGAUCUGGAGGAAUACCGGUGGCGAAGGCGGCCCCCUGGACGAAGACUGACGCUCAGGUGCGAAAGCGUGGGGAGCAAACAGGAUUAGAUACCCUCGUAGUC
Molecule: ribosomal RNA, 464 nt
Filed under: uncultured bacterium
Lineage: Bacteria
Description: partial 16S ribosomal RNA
Rfam family: Bacterial small subunit ribosomal RNA
Source: RNAcentral